UGCCGGUAUGAGUAGCGAAAGAAGGGUGAGAAUCCCUUCCACCGAAUAUCUAAGGUUUCCUGAGGAAGGCUCGUCCGCUCAGGGUUAGUCGGGACCUAAGCCGAGGCCGAUAGGCGUAGGCGAUGGACAACAGGUAGAGAUUCCUGUACCAGUGCUAAUUGUUUAACCGAUGGGGUGACACAGAAGGAUAGGGAAUCGCACGAAUGGAAAUGUGCGUCCAAGCAGUGAGUGUGAGAAGUAGGCAAAUCCGCUUCUCGCGAAGCAUGAGCUGUGAUGGGGAAGGAAAUUAAGUACGGAAGUUCCUGAUUUCACGCUGUCAAGAAAAGCCUCUAGGAAGAGUAGUACUGCCCGUACCGCAAACCGACACAGGUAGAUGAGGAGAGAAUCCUAAGGUGAGCGAGAGAACUCUCGUUAAGGAACUCGGCAAAAUGACCCCGUAACUUCGGGAGAAGGGGUGCUCUAUUAGGGUGCAAGCCCGAGAGAGCCGCAGUGAAUAGGCCCAGGCGACUGUUUAGCAAAAACACAGGUCUCUGCAAAACCGUAAGGUGACGUAUAGGGGCUGACGCCUGCCCGGUGCUGGAAGGUUAAGAGGA
This 593-nucleotide ribosomal RNA is filed under the name Listeria monocytogenes. Its description in RNAcentral is "partial 23S ribosomal RNA". It matches the Rfam family "Bacterial large subunit ribosomal RNA", at positions 1295 to 1885 of the family's 2925-position model. The record is from RNAcentral. Lineage: Bacteria; Bacillati; Bacillota; Bacilli; Caryophanales; Listeriaceae.